GACGAACGCUGGCGGCGUGCUUAACACAUGCAAGUCGAACGGAGAGGCCCUGCUUUUGUGGGGUGCUCGAGUGGCGAACGGGUGAGUAACACGUGAGUAACCUGCCCUUGACUUUGGGAUAACUUCAGGAAACUGGGGCUAAUACCGGAUAGGAGCUCCUGCUGCAUGGUGGGGGUUGGAAAGUUUCGGCGGUUGGGGAUGGACUCGCGGCUUAUCAGCUUGUUGGUGGGGUAGUGGCUUACCAAGGCUUUGACGGGUAGCCGGCGUGAGAGGGUGACCGGCCAAGUGGGAACGGAAAUGGGGCCCGGCCCCAGGGGGGGGGAGGGAGGGGGGAAUGUGGAAAAGGGGGGGAAGGCGGGAGGCAGACGCGCGGGGGGGGGGAGGACGGACUUGGGGUUGAACACCGCUUGCGCCGGUGAGGAGGGGGGGGGAAGGGAAGGGGGAAAAGAAGACCCGGCAAACAACGUC
Molecule: ribosomal RNA, 468 nt
Filed under: uncultured bacterium
Lineage: Bacteria
Description: partial 16S ribosomal RNA
Rfam family: Bacterial small subunit ribosomal RNA (bases 20-328)
Source: RNAcentral